GCUUAAGUAAUAUAAAUAAUGUAAAUAAAGCAAGUAAUAAGGUAAAAAACAAAGUAUCUAAUCAAGUAUAUAAUAAAUGUAUUGCAAAAAAAAAAAACAUAAUGAAAUGAUUUUACAGAAUAAAAAAGAAACAACUUUACUUAAUACAAAUGAAAAAAAAAUUGAAAAUUGAAAAAGCGAAAGUUGGUACUCCCAUUAAAAAAAAAAACAAACCAAGUCAUUCAAAGUAACAUUAAUAAUAACAGUAGUAAUAACAGUAGUAAUAACAGUAGUAAUACAUUACCUAAUAAAUUUAUAACAACAAUAAAUAAACAAACUGAUGUAAAAUGUUAUACAAAAAUUAAAGAAAAUAAAGUAAAAGCAAAAAGAGCUAGUUAUGAUUAUAGUGGUCACGAGGUUAAUACUAGUGGUCAUUUAUCUGAUCUUCAAGUUACCGUUAAUAGUGGUAUUUCUAUAAAUGCCAAUGUCAGUGUCAAAUCAGUAAACAAAACUCCAACAAAUCAGCAAAACAAAACAGCGUUUAACAAAUCAAGUGUUAAUACACCAAAAAAUGCAAUAGUUAAAAAAAACACUACGUUAAAAGAAGCAAACAAAAGAACAAGUGUAAAACUAUGUACAUAUAACAAUAAUUUAAAAAAAGAAAAAAAUCAAAAAAAUCAAAAAAAUCAAAAAAAUCAAAAUAAUGAAAAUAAUGAAAAUAAUGAAAAUAAUGAAAAUAAUGAAAAAACAAAACCUAAUAUAAAAGACGUAAUAAGUAACAACCUAAACAAACAACAAAGAGUAAUAACAAACAAAAUUCUAAACACAUCUAUUAACUUCGAUGCUUCACAUGGAGUAGUACAAUCUAUAAGUAACAUUACUGAUGCUGGUAGUCACAUACUUGACAUGUAUUCACAUAAUGUCACUACUGAUGUUACUACUGGUGUUACUACUGGUGUUACUACUGGUGUUACUACUGGUGUCACUACUGGUGUCACUACUGGUGUCACUACUGGUGUGAAUAAUCAAGAGAAUUUGCAAGAUAUAAUCAAUAACCAAGUAAAAAUAUUUGAGCAACAAUUUUUAUAAAAAAGGGAAACAUAAAAAAAAAAAAAAAAAAAAAAAAAAGGGCUCUACAUGUCCAUACAGCAUGUAUGCAUAUAUAGACCGGUUAUAUAAAACGGUUAUAUAAAUAUUAUGUUUUUUUUUCCCACUCUUUUUGUCUGUCACUGUUUAUAAAAAAAAAAAAAUAAUAAUUAAAAAUAUAUACAUUUAUUCUUUUUAAAUUACACAAC
Molecule: long non-coding RNA, 1274 nt
Filed under: Piliocolobus tephrosceles (Ugandan red Colobus)
Lineage: Eukaryota; Metazoa; Chordata; Mammalia; Primates; Cercopithecidae
Description: lncRNA (ENSPTEG00000024715.1)
Source: RNAcentral